GAAAAUACGUUGAUAAAGAAAAGUAGUAUAAUUUUACUGCACAGAGAUGGAAUGAUUUGCUGAGACAUUCUACUUAUAAGAUUAUAUGAAGUGCCCUUUUGAGUAGUAUGCUGAAUUUGUUUUAGUAGGCAUCACCGGGUUCACCCGUUAUAGUGAUAGAGUAUAGGUGUACUUGAUAAGGUAGUUCUAAUAUAAUUAGAGUGGAACCACGAAGUUUACUUCGUCUCUAUA
RNAcentral lists this non-coding RNA (231 nucleotides) under Clostridium oryzae. RNAcentral's name for it is "T-box sequence". It matches the Rfam family "T-box leader". From Rfam's summary of the family: Uncharged tRNA acts as the effector for transcription antitermination of genes in the T-box leader family. T-boxes are found upstream of many aminoacyl-tRNA synthetase genes and some amino acid biosynthetic genes usually in Gram-positive bacteria. Lineage: Bacteria; Bacillati; Bacillota; Clostridia; Eubacteriales; Clostridiaceae. The record is from RNAcentral.